Molecule: long non-coding RNA, 369 nt
Filed under: Eucalyptus grandis
Lineage: Eukaryota; Viridiplantae; Streptophyta; Magnoliopsida; Myrtales; Myrtaceae
Description: long non-coding RNA (EGRA_LNC007036)
Source: RNAcentral
CGAACUAUUUGACUUGAAGGCUCCUGCACGUGAGACUUCGUCCAGUUCGAGAUAAAGCAGAGACCGUGUAAAAGCGCUUCUGCUUCCGCUUGUUCUGCUGAAGAAACCCUAGCCUCCGCUGCAAUCCAUCGACGACGAAGCCCUCUUUAUUUCUGAUGAUGCCGGCUACGGAACAGAGAUAUUCGCCUGGUACCCAUGAAGCAUCCACGUUCAAUUUCAACUCACAAUCUCCUGGUGGUGUCCAUUUCUCUAGUAAAUGCCGAUUUUGAGUUCAGUUUUGCUUCGUUCCUCUACUGAAUGCUUGAUUUUGGGUAUGGGCGGUGUCGAUUACUUCCGCUGAUUUUGGAGUUUUAUCUCGGAAGAUCCGUG